AGAGGGAACGACACGUCGCUGACUGCCUCCCGCCAUUUCUCUGCUGUGAAAAAGCAGUGGGAAAACAUCGGUGGCCACCGCGGCGCGUCAGGUUUGCUACUCAAAUUUCAUAGUCGUUUUUAGAAACAAGGGGUCCUCGAUUUCAGAAAGGUGAAGAAGCACAUUCCUGAUUUUUUGGCUAAAAUGACAACUGAGGCUGGCAGAUGCAAACGUGUCAAACGACCAUAACCAAGCAACGAAGACAUCUAAUUUUGCUUUGGGGUCUUAUUGUCAUUGUUUCUCACCUCAGUCACCUGUCGCAUUACGGACAGCUAUUGCAUCGUAAACAUGGGAUGACCCCGGGAUUUAAACGGUUCAAUACAAUUUUGUCUGACCUUCCGAUCAAUGUGCUGCCAUUCGGGGCAAGAUCUGAGUGAAGAUCUGAGCUCAGAGUGUAACACAAGGAGGUGCUUCUUGGGUGGACUAUCAAUGCCUUGUACACUCACAUCAAUUCUUCUUACUGAUGGCGGUUUCCAAUGUUCAGUUUAAAUGGUUGCCUUGCGCAGAGGCACAAACUGAGCUUUAGAGAGGGUCUUCUUUAGAUAGCUUCCUAAGAGGGCUUCCACACAAGAAGGAAAAUUAUGGUUUUAUAAACCCUGUCUCUUAGCUGUGCAUAGUUCACCCGGUUGUGGAACUGAAUGUACCCCCCCCCCCCCAUCCCCUUUGGCUGUAAUCAGUGACCAUUUGAGAGAAUGGUACACAGUUACUAUGGGGGCAUGUUGUUCUUCUGUUGUUGAUUUCAGGGAGGACAAUAGUUGCCUGUGUCUCACCUAUUUGUGUCAGCUGGGCUGUACUGAUGAGUGACGUGUUUGCAGAAAGGGCCCGGCUGAUUGAUGGUUGCCUCGCUGUUCUUUGUUGAAAUGGGAUCAUGACGUGUACUAGGAGGAAAUAGCUUUUUCAAAGCAGCAGAUCUCUCUGUUCUUAUGUGACUCUACGUGCAGCACAACUUCCAGUCAGUCCAUCCGGCCUGCUGUCUGUCUUUAAGCCCUAAAUAUUGUGUGUAUAAAAUAUAUAUGACAUGAUUAACAAUUUACUGGUUAUGUUUAACAUGUUACAUAUUGGAACUUGGAAUAGUUUACUUUCAAAGUAAUGUGCAUUUACCAAGCGGGAUGAGUCAGACAAAAGAUGCUCGGGGGUUAACGGAAAUAUAAAGGUGCACGCGAAAACGCUGAGAGAGAAAAAACAGAGAAAACGGUAAUAAAUGGUUAUGGUAUUAAAAGGUUUGUUAAUGUUUAACACUUAUAGGAAUUAAGUAAUAACUGUAUGUGUGCUCUUAAACAGCAUUAGUAAGCUAACGUUACUACAUUGGCGCGGGAGAUGUUAUUUGUGAUUUAUCCACAGCUCCUACGUUGUUUGUGGAAUUUAAAAAUAAAAUGUACAAUCACCAGCCAAGUGUCAGACCAUCUGUCGGAAGGGAUGUGCCACAAAUUUUCCCAUUUUAAAAUAAUGGAAAAUUCUUGAAUUGCCAUGACUUACCAAAAAAGUCUGCCUUAUUUACCUUACUUUUCAAAAUCUAACCUAUCCAAUUUUCUCAAGUUUUUCAUUUCGAUAUAGUUCUUUACAUUAAAUCAUUUUCUCCACAAAAGACCCUUCUAACAGCAUCAAACCAAAAACCAAAAUAUCCAAACCGCCACAGAGGAAAAACAAAGCCGUUACAAGAAACUACUCAGUGUGACAGUUCUAUGCAGUAUCGAUAAACAAUGUCACAGAUGAUCACUUCAAUCCCACGAAGGUACUGCUGCGUGUCUCACAGAGAGGAUUCUUCCACUGACAACAUUUAGGAUGCAACCGCUGCCGUCCUCACAGGAUAUCAUCAUCAAGUGCACGAGUCGGCGUGAUUGCCUCUCAGGCCGCUGUAACUGGAUUGUGUUUCCGCUGCGAUCCAGCUGAAACUUUGCCAGCACUAAUUUCCCCUGUGUCUGUUACCUUCCAUAAAAACCUUCUUAUAUAUUUAUUCUCCCAUCUUCCUGGGAUUAAUAGAUUUUAUGCAAACCACAUUCCUGUUGCAAUUUGCAUUUUAUCACCUUACAGAUUGGGUCUUUUUUCUUAAUUCCCUUUCAUAUCACCUUGCGCACUGUUAUUAUCCCUUAAUAUUGGGUACUCAGUCUUUCACAAUCUGUGCAUUACUCGGAACCAUCAUCAAUAAGCUGAUAAUUCAACCUCUUGCGUGAUGGGUGCGGAUGUACGUACUAAUCACCUUUGUCCUGCUGUAGAACCUUUUGAAAAUCAGUAAUGUAUUAAUUAACACUGUCAUUUAUCUCUUGAAUCUGUCUUUCUAUGUUUAAGUCUAUUGAAUAACUGAUUGGCUGCACGAGAUGACUAUCUGUGGCCUGACUGUCAUGUAAGAUAUGUCAUUGAAAAAGAUAAGAAAAAGGUUUUAAGAGUGAGUUUGAUUUGUGCCCAUCAAUACAUUUCUUGUUCUAUCUCUAAAUGGUUGUUUGUUUAAUUUCAACACCUUCACGUUAAAACGUAGAACGUUACAGUACCAGUAUAAUACCAGUCAAACAACUAGCUGGGUUUAUGGGGAGAUUAAUAUAUAAGAGUGAAAUUCAAUUUAAAGGUUAAUGGGCCAUCUGAACAAUCAGGUGGAACAUAGUUUGAACUAUUAGACAAAUUCUAAAUGUGUACUGAACUUUGGGAAUGAUAAUGUGAAAAACAAUCUCCAAAAUUAUGUCAUCCUUCUUUUCUCAACAGAGUAAAUGGUGCAUUUUUACUAGUUGGCGCUCUCCUCUCUUCUUUCAGUACAUGUUGUGUUAUGUUGUUUUUGUCGACCUGUGCCCAAAUAGCCCCCCCGCCCUCUUCACCCACUACUGCUUAGUAGUUCACCGAUGCUUCGGCACAGAGGGGCCGUUUGCAAGCUCAGCAGGGGGCACAAGCGCAUGAAGCGACAUGCUGGCAUCACUUAGUAGUCGAUCCCUGAGCAGCCAGCAGGUUCCUCUUUGGUUGGUCAAUACGGCUUGUCAGUCAAAACAAACCAAUUUAGAGCCAACGACUGCGCUCCGCUGUCAGAUGUCCGCAGCCACGGAAUUGAAAGGGACACCCGGCUCAGCAAAAUGACUAAAAUGACUAAUUUGAAGUGUCAUUUGAAGUGCUUGGUGGGACAAAUGAUAACGCUCAUGCAGAGCAGCUUAUCUGUAUUUUUGAUGAUGAUGAUUGUGUCCAGACAGAAAGUAAGCAGGAAAAUCACAAAGAAAAAAAUAACCGAAUGUCACACCAAAAGCCAAAUACUUCAAAAUGGACAUUUUUUUGCAGGAUGACUUUCUAGGAUAGCUUCACCUUGAGUGGCUUAGUGAGACUCUGAGCAGCCAAUCAUCCCUUAAUUGAAAAAAGACGAGGAAAGACAAGAUUGGAGAUAUUCUUUUUGAUUGUAAUUUGGGAACACAAGUCCUCUAUCAGAUCUCUAGAGCCCGAUGUGGAGGAUAACACUUCACAACAUAUUACUUCUAUGAAAUUCUAUAUCAAUAUCACGUACACAUACAGUAUAGCAUUUCACUCGUAAAAACCUUGUGGGGCAAAAGUUAAGAAUGAGAUUUUAAGUGUUUUUUGAUGAAGGCUUAAAGAAAUCCAAAUGCCCUGGAAAUUCAAUGAUGAGCUAUUCCCAUCUAAUAGUGUUGUUUCACGGAAAUAUAGAAUAGUUGUGGAUACAAUAUAUAGACUACUAAUUGUGAUACAUAGGAUGUGCUGGGUUUCAAUUAUUAAUAUACACUGAGACCAAUACAUUACUUGUAUUCAGCGAUAUAGUCGAGACCAGUGUGUGCAGGUGGGUGUGGCAGUCAGCUGAUUGAUGAAGGAGGGAAAAGAGUGCAUCUGAUGGACGGAUGAAAAAAAAGCUCAAAAGGGGCCUUUGUGAAUAGUCCCCCGAGGAAGAGGAAUCUGGCUGAGGAGGGCAUCAGAGACGUUUUAGUUUGAUAAUCCGCCCUCGAGCAGAAGCCACCGUCAGAAACACUGACCUGGGCUGGCCGGAGCUUUUUGAUGAACCCCAGCAGUCAAAAAUACGGAGUGGGGGGUCUUUGCUUCGCUGAUUGCAACAUGGGAGGUCAAAUUCAAAUGAUUCCCCAAAGGCAUUUUUUAUAUUUUUCUUUCAUAAACUGUAAAUAAUAUUUGGUUUUUCGGCACCAGCUUUUUGUGAUUAACUGUGUCACGGUUUGGGUUUGUUUGCUGUCUUAUUUUGAAGUUUUCUGUAGUUUUCUUGUGUCCCUGGGUAACCUCACUUCCUGCCUUGCACAUCAAGACACAAAUGUCACAUAACAGCUGCAGAGCUGGGAAAUAGGAUUUAGGCAGGAAAAAACAUUUUAGAUUAAAAACAGUAGAGCACAAAUCAAGAUUUACACAGUAAUGAAAAACAGGAUUAUGGAUUUGUUCAAAAGCUUUAUGCAUGGCACACAAGUAAGUAGCAGCACAGUUUGUAUCUGUUGGAAAUACCGGAUGAUGUUGUUUGAAUAAGUGCACGUCUGUAGCCUUUUUUAUUCUCGGUUGACUUGCUUUGGUCUUUACUUUUAUCUCGGGGAGGUUUUCCCACUGACUCCCCGAAGUGCCGCCUCAUUCACAAUUUGUUCACAAAAAACAUCUACCUCUCGCGUGCACGCUGCUCCCUCCUGCACCCAUUCUUCAAUGCAGCAAUAACAUCAACAUAGAAGGAAAACCAAACAGUGUGACAGCAACGUACCCUGAAGAAGAAACGCGGUAAUAAAUAUGCUGACAGGCGAGCUCGGAGUGCUUAUUAUAAGACGAGUCUGAAGCAGAGUGCGAUCCCUCCAGGUCCACUGUUCCUUCUGUUUCUAUCUGUGGCUGAAGAGAGAUAGAGGAGAGCUCAUCAUUCAAGACCUAGUCAUCUAUCUUUCCCUCGCUUAUUCUCUUUCUGAUCCUCCCCUCCUCUCCCUCUCUCAGUCAUGGGGAUUUGGGGGCUCCGAGCCAAGCGGCCUCCCUAGGAAAUUGCCUCGAGCUUGCUGGGCAUUUAAUGAGGUUCACAAUGAUUUAUGAUGCUUGAUGUACACAAAAUGGAAUCAGAGACCUGCAUAUGGGCUUGUUACCGAUUAAUUCCACACUAUAAUUUCACCCUGGAUACAAUUCAAUAUCACAUCGACAAUGCUGUGAUGCCCCAUACUUAUUGCUUUACAAGAUGGGGAAUUAAAGAUUUACCAAAUCAAGCAUGUGAAUGCCUGUCGGGGUUUUGUUUUGCAGAGCUUUACUAUUUUAUACUGAAAAGUUGCACCAUCUGUGCAAAGUUCAGCUCGACUCUCUCUCCCAUUGUGCCUUCUUUUCUCACGUAUCCUCAUCACAAGUCAAAGCUGGCCUUGACUACAGACACACAACGCUAUAUUAUUCUCAUUUGACACUCUGUCUGUAACUGACUAGGUCAUAUUUACUGACAAAUACUGUUUACCUUCAUGAGCCUGCAUAAGUGGCUUUCAGUUUUCAAUUCAUUAAAACUGUUAUUAGCGUGGAAUACUUAGGCGUCUCCGGGACUAUUUUACAUCUCCUAUUUCCAAUUGUUUGUCUGUCAGCCAGAUGAAACCAAGCUUGCUGGGCAUUUUGUCGCCGGGGUUGAAUCCAGGCUGGCACUCUUGUGUCCAGGAGGAACGAUGGAUUAUCUAGAAUCACUUAUCCCGCACAAUUUAAAAGCCAACAAGUCUAUCUACAGAUCAGUUAAUAACAUGGUGCCUCUCCCCCGGCAAUAUCUUUUGGUCUGUUUCGAUUAGAUUUUCUCUUAUUGACUUGAGAUUUGAAAAAGAAUCUCUCGUGCAGCAAGUCCGAGCCAACAUGUCUUUCUGUGAGGGUGAGGUUGUGUCGACCAAGAUUAGCAGUAACCUCUGCUCUGUUAUAGGGCUGAAAAGAAAGCGCCAAGUCACGAAGUAGAAUUUCACGGAUUUCUUUGUCAAAAACAGAACACUUCAGUCAUCAGAACAAAGAAACUAUGGCUCUGGGAAUAAAACGCUCCCUUCACAUCAUCUUGGGUUUGGGCCUGUGCUUAUAUCCUUUUCUUCAAAUCCUAAAAAUAAACAACUCUGAAAGACAAAUCUGAGGUCUGUGCAAAUAAUCUCACAAGCUAUUGUCAGCAAGAUGUUUGAGGUUGAUUCUUUUUUUAGCAGUUCAUAAAAAGCUGUGUAACACGUCUAACAGCUCACGUUUAACGUAUGGUUUAGACACCUCUCACGUGAAGCUCAGCUGCUGUGAGACAGUGGUAAUGAUGCCAUUUGCAGCUAAAGUUAACAGCAGACAGUGAGUAAUGGAGCACUUUCUGGGACACAAAGACUGCAGUCUUGGGUAUUCUGUCUGAAUCGCAUCUGGAAGCCCUGCAUUUGGUGUAAUAAAGCUCAGAGGAAUGUUGCAUCUUUAAGGUAUCGCUUUCUAAUGAGUCACUCCGGGGCUACGCGUUGUAGCUUGAGGAUGGUUAAAUGUGCAAGAUCUUACAUUAGGACUACGUUGAUUUCCUCUCAACAUGUUAUGAUGUGCAAACGGACCCAGAUGCAACACGCAGGACCACCAAGGUUUCUCUUUUUCCAACAGGGGUUAUUUAUUUUCUCCGGCAGGGAAAAAACAAAGGCAACAUGAAAGGCGUGGCACUGGGCGGGGCUCUGAGGACACUACUGGGGACACAAAAACAAAACCACAAGCACAUGGCAAAACAAUAACAAACAGGCAGGGCUGUAGUGGAGGGUAAACGCACGUAAACGCCGUUUACGCACCUCUAGAAUUUUGGAAAUAGCGUUUACGCACCUAUAAAUAGCGUUUACGCACCUCUAAGUGGCGUGUACGCACCUCAAAGUUCCCUGCGCCUUGUAUUCUUCCGUUGGAAUAAUCCGAAAUAAACUUGGUGUAAUUUUAAAACAGCUAAGACUACGUUUCCUAUUGUUGAACAUAUAAACGCCGUAGUCUGAAUCAUUUUCAUCUGCGCUGUAUUACGGUCUGUGAGCAUCCAAUCAGUGCCUUGCGGCUGCAGCAGCGACACCAAUCAGGAUCCAGGAGGUGUGUAAACACAUACACGCUGUGAAUCAGCCCAGUGGUCCCCAACAGUUAGGCACAAUACUUCUUAAAAAAGGCCCUUCAUUUCUGUGCUUAAAGGUUUUCUGUUUAAAUUGACUAGUUGUAUCACAACAUAUUUUAGCUGCUCCAGGAGCCUUUCCUGUUUUCUCUGUGAUCACUGUCCAGCUUUGAGCCAAAGGGGCGACAGACAUUAGACGCAUCCACUCUGCCAACACCAAAUAUUUCUCUUCUUUGCUCGUGUGCACCUCUGGGACGGCAGACAAAGGCUUCCACACACAACCCGAAUACACAUGUUGCACCUGUGCACAAGCACACGUUCACACAUGGACACAAGCCUGCCACCUGUUCUCAACGCUUAACAACAGAGCUCCCUAAAUCCUCUCUGUAUAUCGUGGAAACAAGACGUUCCCAUCACCACAGUUUAUGCAACAUUGCUGGUGUUUCCAUUUAAUUUAGCUGAGCUGAACAUAUCUUGCUCUUAUACUGAAAUUGAACUCCAUACUCGGCGGACGUCACGGAAUUCUGACUUUUUGGAAUUAUUGCUUGUUGAUGUGAAGGCUGUGAAAUGGAAAGGUCACCACACACCUGCAGGAAACUAUUCAUUUAUCAUCACAAAGAUAUAAGGUUUCAUUGAUCUUAAGGUUUUCCCCAUUUGGACCUGAGAAUGUGUCCAAUAGAUAGCCAAAGCCAGACACCUUGACACUAUCUAAAACUGCCAUGGGUGUCUUGUGGGGUGACAAAAAGCAAUUAGACUAAUGUCCCCCAACCGAAUCUCUCACGUUACACUGGCUGACAUUGUCCACUGCCGCAGGCACCUACUCCACUCAAUAAGUAAUUACAAUGUCUUUAGCCGCCUCUGCAGCCAGCCUUACCUUUUUUCAACGGAGAGCCAAGAGACCGGAUGUCUAUUAAUUGAAUUGGCGGACUAAUAGGAACUCUAGAAAAUACUCCCCUUUUCCCUCUCUAUCUCUAUGACACAUUAAUUCACUUGUUUUAACAACGAGAACAAAUACAGUGUUUCUUAAUAUUUGAGUCUGCUUUAUCCAACCAAUUUAAGCAUUUGAUUCAGUCAGCAACAGUUUUGUAUAAUGGGUAAAGCCUCUGUUUCAUAGGGUGGCUUUAACCUAUAAAUAAAAAAAACAUCUUCGCAAAUUAUAUUUUCAUGUAUUUUUGCUUCAUUUAUUUGCAGUGAUGGUUAUUCAUCAAAUCCUUCCUUUUAGAGUGAUGAAUCCGAUAUCUCCCAGAGAUUGUGUUCCAACAUCAUUAAUGGGUUCCCAGUAACUCUGGUAGGAAGGUGACAGCAGGCAGAGGAGAAAAACCCUGUCAUUGGUUCACUCUACAGGCGCAAACUCACAGUGAAAAAGAUGGCAGACGGUCACGUGAAUCUAUAUUAGAUCACUUUUUUUUCACCCCGCAGUCCGUCUCCCCUCUCCCUGUUGGUGGCACUGAGCAGUUCUGGGGCAGGUUAUUGUCCCGUGUAUAAAUAAGCUGACAGUCUGGCGGGGCCAGGUGCUCUGAUGUGUCAGUUCGGUGUCCUCCUCACUACCUGCCGCGGCGUUGUGUCGCUGAAGUGUUUUCUUGCCAUUCAACGUGACCUCCACAGAUGGCUCAUUCCCUGGCAAACUAUAACGAUCCAGCUCCCGUCCCUCACUGCUAAUUGGGAUCUCACCUUUUUUAGAUUGGUUAAUACCCUCAAUCUCUGUUUAUGUCUCAUACAUCAGGUUGAUCAUUUACAUCUAAUAACCCACGCAAUUAUUUGUUGAUUUUUUUGUUUUUGGUCUGUGUGUUUUUUUCUCUCCAAGGUGACACACUUUCACCCAUUUGUCUGUAGUUACAUGUCUGCUAUUUGCUAGCAAAAAAUAACGAGAUGUUUAGACUGAAAAUUAAACUAAAUGACUUGGUAAAAAGCCUUUUUUUGCAUUGUGCCUCCAUCAAUUCCCUCAUCCUCACUUACCCCCCCAUCCCUGUCCUAUGCCAUCUGUAUACCUGUUUACCUACUACAUUCCAGUCCUCUAUCUUCUCCAGUCGUGGGGGACAACUUGUCACCAGCAGACGUGUUGAUGUCUAAUGGCUGUGGGGCUUUUUCUUUGACACCUGCAGCAAACGGGAAUCCUGACCGGCUGCAGGGAGUGUUUAUCUCCCAACGCAGGCCUUCCCUCUAUCCCCAUGCCAAUAGAAACAGCAGCACAGCGCCUUGUUCCCAGAACCCAGAUAAGGUCCCCAGAGAAACCGCGCUGCAGCCAGACACCCCCCCGCCCUCCAUCGCUACAAAGGACUGGACGGAGCACAGAGACUACGUGACCCAGAACUCCCCCUCCGUGCUUUCACACAACUCUUGCUAAAUCUGGCUUAAUUCCUUUAAAGACCCGCGUUAAGUGACAUGACAUCGAAACGAUUUAACAUUGAAAAAUUCGAGGUUGGAAAAGGACAGAUUUCUGAACGUGUUUCGUCCUUUUGACACCUUUUCCUAAAAUACCAGAGAACCAGCUCCAGUAAAUGGAGCGUGAAAAACUGCCCUGAUGCACAAUGACGGAGCUGCUCUCGGCGUGACAGAGAGAGACAUUGAUUAACUGUCAGUUACUGUCAGCGUCGACUUUGAUAACAGGUUGUACUUUGACUAUGUUAUGAAACUUAAAGAAAAAGAGCCACACAGAGAAGUUAAAACUGACACAAUCUAAUGUUUGCAUGUUUGAUAGCAGCCAAAGAUGUGUGAGGGAGUAUGAGUGUUACAGAUUACGUAACCGACUGUGUUUGUGCGGUGGUAUUCUUCGCGACUCACAAACAAAAGGGACUCAGGUGAUUUAGAUUUUGAGUUUUUACCAGUGAGAUAUAAAUAUCUUUAAGCUGAAUCAAUCAAUUUUUAUUCAUUUCAACAACAGGUCGAAUGCAACUUUUAAAGUGAAAGUUAAUCUGCAGAGCAUUUUGUGUCCUUUAACUUGUUGUUUUGGUUUUAUAGCGUAGAACUUUGCUUAUCAAUUCUCACUAAAUUGUGUAUCCAACUAAAUUGAUUGUUUUUUAUGAAUAUUAACUUAUUAUUUGUUUUGCCAAAUCCAAGGCCGCUUGCUGGCAACGUUCGUUAAUAAAUUUUCUUCCUUUCCAGGCAGCGUAUAACAUGACACUGAGCAGAGGUUUAAAGGAGGAGGGUGGUGAACGGUUGAAGGAAAAAAAGCACACAACACGACAAAAGUGUUAGUCCUAGUGUAAACGCUAGGAUAAACACACACAACACAAAUUAUCACCUCAAAAAGCUAAUAAACUAUUAACGUAUUAACAAUCAGUGGCUUAUUAACACAGCCGGCAGUCACGAGGAGAACGGGACCCCGUUAAUGAAGCUUAACAGGUAGUCCAGAUAGGAAGACUCUCCGUCGUUGCGGUCAGGUGUCCUUUCAACGAGAAACCAGAUGCGACCCUCCUUCACCCCAUGCAGGCACCUCCAGCCAUCAUUUUCAUCAACUCCCUUCUUCACCACCACCACUAGAGUCUGGACUCCAGGAGGCAUUUGGAACUCUGCAUCACCGCCCCUUGAUUAUCCUGGUUUAGGAUGGAGUCCAAUCGCCACAUAAUUGCACUAUUUCAAUGUCACACAUGUAAUAAAUGGUUGUCAAUACGAACCAAGUCUCUCCUGAUUAAAUUCACUUUGGAGAGCUGCCUGCUAAAACUGAAAUCAAGAGUGGAUUGUGACUAAGUAUAUGUACUAUGUAUAUGUAUGUAUAAAUAUAUAUAUAUAAAACCAUGAACCUUUAGCAAAUGCUUUAAAUGAGAAACAUAUACACAUGAAUAAUGCUUUGGUUUUUCCAGAGCAGAUGUUGAAAAGAUAACAGACGUUCUACAUGAAUAGAAUGUAGCGACAUUCCCGCUGAACGCUUCUUUGUCAUUGCAGCAAUACACGCUCUGGGCUUUUUUUUAUGUUAAUAUAUAUAGACAGUAUAUACACUUUUGUAUCUUUUGAACAAUCAGUAGUUCAUUGAUGUAUUAAAAAGAUUCCAAUCUUUGGAACUUAUUCUAAAGGGCUCAUCGUUGAACGUACUGUAUUGUAAGGAAUGAAAUAAAUUUGUAUUUCCUGGCUUUUCUUUUGCCUCACAAUUGUUGCUGCAAGUCCCUAGUGUGUGUACAAGGUCUUGUGGGAAAUAACUGCAUUCAGUUUGUUCUGUACAGGGAAAUUCAGUUCUGUGUUUGGCCAACCAUGUCAGGCACUUAAAUCACAGAGGGCCUGAAUUCCUCAGGGCCAAUCCAGCCUGUCACCAUGAAUGUAAAGACAGGCUUUAUCUCCUCCGACUUAAAUAUGCCCAUAAAUAAUGUAGAAGCGGGU
Gasterosteus aculeatus aculeatus (three-spined stickleback) is the source of this 11332-nucleotide long non-coding RNA. NCBI's taxonomy places the organism in Eukaryota, Metazoa, Chordata, Actinopteri, Perciformes, Gasterosteidae. The record is from Ensembl.